Long non-coding RNA from Physella acuta, 484 nucleotides. RefSeq lists it as uncharacterized. The record is from RefSeq and is a predicted model, not a curated record. Lineage: Eukaryota; Metazoa; Mollusca; Gastropoda; Physidae.
GCAUCACCAAAUCCCAGGUGUAACGAGCUCAGGUAUAAAUAGCCAGGUGAGGACGGUGGUCAAACAUCGCAUCCAAACUCUCAGCUAGAGAAACUUGCCGGUUUCUGAGCCCGUCAUCUACCUGCACCAUGAACAAACUCGUGUUUGCCGUUCUUGCCCUCGCUGUACUCUCCAUGAGCGCCCAAGCUUCCUUCUAUGGUGGUCUUGGUUUUGGAGGACUCGGUGGGCUUGGAUAUGGUGGGCUUGGAUUCGGUGGGCUUGGAUUCGGCGGUCUUGGAUUCGGCGGUCUUGGAUACGGCGGUCUUGGAGGUUGGGGACUGGGCAGACUCGGAUGGGGAGGUCUUGGAUACGGAUAUGGUCUCCCUAUUUACAAGGGACUCUAUUACUAAACAAGUAUCCCAGCCGUCAAGACGAUGUGUCAAGACAUUGUUUUUGUGUUUUUAGUGUUUGUGUUUGUAAAUGGCAAUAAAAAAAACAAAAAUUG